This 406-nucleotide ribosomal RNA is filed under the name uncultured bacterium. RNAcentral describes it as "partial 16S ribosomal RNA". It matches the Rfam family "Bacterial small subunit ribosomal RNA", at positions 30 to 526 of the family's 1533-position model. The record is from RNAcentral.
AUUGAACGCUGGCGGCAGGCCUAACACAUGCAAGUCGAACGAGUGGCGGACGGGUGAGUAAUGUCUGGGAAACUGCCCGAUGGAGGGGGAUAACUACUGGAAACGGUAGCUAAUACCGCAUACCAUCGGAUGUGCCCAGAGGGGAUGUGCUUGUAGGUGAGGUAACGGCUCACCUAGGCGACGAUCCCUAGCUGGUCUGAGAGGAGGACCAGCCUGACUGGAACUGAGACACGGUCCAGACUCCUCAGGGGGGCAUCAGGUGGGAAUCUUGCACAAUGGGGGCAAGCCUGAUGCAGCCAUGCCGCGUGUAUGAAGAGGGCUUUCGGGUUGUAAAGUACUUUCAUCGGGGCGGCGUUACCCGCAGAAGAAGCACCUGCUAACGCCGUGCCAGCAGCCGCGGUAAUAC